AGAGACUUUUAUAGCAACAAGGGUGAAAUCUGUACUUAAGUUAAAUUUCUUGUUUAAAGCAUCUUUUAGGUAGUUAAACGACUAGGAUUAGAUACCCUAUUAGUCUAUCCUUAAUUAACCUGGGUAGUAAUAUUAAAACCUAAAGAAUUUGGCGGUUUCUAAACUUACUAGAGGAACCUGUCCCGUAAACGACAAUCCACGAAAAAAUCAACCCAAACUUGUUAUUCAGCUUAUAUACCGUCGUUUAGGGGAUUAAACAAAUAGAUCUCCUUAAGAGCUUAGGCUAAUAAAUCAGAUCAAGGUGUAGCUUAUGUUUGGGUGAGGAUGGGUUACAAUGAAAAUUCAUACGGAACCUUUAUAUUACUGCAAAGGAGAAGGUGGAUUUAGAAGUAAGACCUAACACACUGAAGAAAGCCCUGAGAAAUGUACACAUCGCCCGUCGCUCUCUUGUCCGAAGAGAUAAGUCGUAACAAAGUAGGUGUAUCGGAAGGUUCAUCUUGAAA
Molecule: ribosomal RNA, 503 nt
Filed under: Artemia sinica
Lineage: Eukaryota; Metazoa; Arthropoda; Branchiopoda; Anostraca; Artemiidae
Description: partial 12S ribosomal RNA
Source: RNAcentral